CAGAAAUGCAUACCCAGUGGAGUUAUUCUCACCAGCCAUGCUGCCAACCCCCAAUGAAGACUCCAUUCAUUCAGAAAAACAACAUGGGCAACUAAAUACAACUCCUAAGGCCUUAUGAGGGAGAUGGAAUGGAAAGAGGGAUUACUUUCUGCAGGCAGCCACUUCCUUGUCUCACCUGUGGGCCCCUAGGGCCAGUUCCUGUUACUGAAUUUCUGUAUCACUUUCCUGUACCUAGACUGAUCUUCGAAUGAGGUCUUGGGAGGCUUUGUUUCAUCAGAGGAGUGUCGUCAAAGAGCUCUUGCAUGGGACACAGCUUCUGUUCUUGGGCUACCUCACUUUCCAGCAGACAGGA
This is a long non-coding RNA of Mustela erminea (ermine), 352 nucleotides long. RefSeq lists it as uncharacterized. The transcript is spliced from 3 exons. The record is from RefSeq and is a predicted model, not a curated record. NCBI's taxonomy places the organism in Eukaryota, Metazoa, Chordata, Mammalia, Carnivora, Mustelidae.